ACGUAAUUUCUUACGUUGAAAUACAAGAACACAUGUUUCUAGAGAACGGGUAAACUGCGCGCCAAAGUCGAAUUGUUUAAAAGUUAAUGAGUGGAAUCCAGUGGAAUAAAGGAUACACAAAGUACGAUUUGAGAGAGCGAAAAGUCCUAUACCAACCAGAAUCGUAUCCCAGCAAGACAAGUAAAAAACAGGAAAAAAGAAGACAUAAUUACGAUUCAGAGAAGCUGGGAAAACAGUUAUUAAUAUUAAAGAA
Molecule: long non-coding RNA, 253 nt
Organism: Drosophila pseudoobscura
Lineage: Eukaryota; Metazoa; Arthropoda; Insecta; Diptera; Drosophilidae
Exons: 2
Source: RefSeq, a predicted model, not a curated record